GAUGAACGCUAGCGGCAGGCCUAACACAUGCAAGUCGAGGGGUAACAUAGAAAAGCUUGCUUUUCUGAUGACGACCGGCGCACGGGUGCGUAACGCGUAUACAACCUACCUUUUAGCGGGGAAUAGCCCAGGGAAACUUGGAUUAAUGCCCCAUAGUAUAUAGACUUCUCCUGAAGUUUAUAUUAAACAUUUAUGGCUAUUAGAUGGGUAUGCGUCCUAUUAGUUAGUUGGUAAGGUAACGGCUUACCAAGGCAGCGAUAGGUAGGGGUCCUGAGAGGGAGAUCCCCACACUGGUACUGAGACACGGACCAGACUCCUACGGGAGGCAGCAGUGAGGAAUAUUGGACAAUGGGCGAGAGCCUGAUCCAGCCAUGCCGCGUGCAGGAAGACUGCCCUAUGGGUUGUAAACUGCUUUUACAGAGGAAGAACCACCCUCACGUGUGGGGGUUUGACGGUACUCUGCGAAUAAGGAUCGACUAACUCCGUG
This 487-nucleotide ribosomal RNA is filed under the name uncultured bacterium. Its description in RNAcentral is "bacterial SSU rRNA". It matches the Rfam family "Bacterial small subunit ribosomal RNA", at positions 28 to 507 of the family's 1533-position model. The record is from RNAcentral.